This 1628-nucleotide unclassified non-coding RNA is filed under the name Hevea brasiliensis (rubber tree). The record is from RNAcentral. Lineage: Eukaryota; Viridiplantae; Streptophyta; Magnoliopsida; Malpighiales; Euphorbiaceae.
AAUAACCUUUCUGGCUUACUCAUCAAAGCAUUUGCAGAUUAUCGAAUGUUGAACAGUUUAGCCGAAUGAACAUGUACAGAUAUCAGUAUGGGAUGAAAAUGGAAGUUAUUAAUCCAAUACCAAAAACUAUAGUAUUUUUCACAACCAUCAAAUAAAACUCUCAAAGAUAGACUUCCACAUAGGAUCUCCAAGAAAAAUCUCAUAGAACAACCAACUAAACAGAGAUAAAAGUGAACAAACAAGUUUUCCAAUUCAUCUAAAUAAGUGCCCAUUCUAAAUGAAGUGCAACCAAAUUCUCUCCAAUUGAAACAAGACAAAUACUAAAUAGUGCUGUGCUCCUUUGGUAAAUUAUGGUUGCCACACCGGCGGAAGCAGCACUUCAAGUAGCUUGAGACUUCUUAGAUUUGCUGGUAGCCAGUUGGGUCUCAGGCUGCAGAACCAAACAAAGAAAAUGAGGGCAUGAAUAAGUGAACUAUGCUUUCUGCUUCUUUUAUAUCAUUAUGCUCUCUGCUUCUUUUAUAUUAUUAUGCUCUCUGCUUCUUUUAUAUUAUUUUGCUGCAUGUAAUAAGCAAGUUACCUCCUUCUUCACUGGUUCUUCCUUCUCAGAUAAAAUCAACUCAAUGUGGCAAGGGCUGGACAUGUAAGCUACAAAUGACAAUAGCUUCAUAUCAAUUAAACAACAAAAUAAAAAAGGCAUAUAAUACAUAAAUAAUUCAAAUCAAACAUACGAUUGAUUCUUCCGUGAGCCCUAUAAGUACGACGCCUCUGCUUCUGUGCCUGAUUCACUUGGAUGUGAGAAAUGAAAAGAUUAUCGACAUCCAAGCCUUUGACCUCAGCAUUACUCUCAGCAUUCUUGAGCAAAUCAAGAAUGAACUUGGCAGAUUUGGCAGGCCACCUUCCUUGCCCAUUUGAGUGCCUGUUCUUUGCCUGAGCAGUACGCCCCACACCACCACAGAAACGUCGGAAAGGUAUAGCUUGUUUGUGAGCCAUAACAUCUUCCAAAUACCUCUUAGCCUUUGCCAAAGGCAAUUUCCUUAAAGCAUGGGCUGUUUCCCUUGUAUUCUAUAAGAAAUAUGAACUAGUUAAUGCCAGUAUUGCCAAAUUGGGAGGGAAAAGGAAUAUAAGCUUAAGCAUCAACUCAUUGACAAAACCACCAAGACAAUAGGAUGACAGAUUUUUCAGUGUCUAAAACAUUAGCAACAAGCACAAAAACAAAUUUAUCAGCAAUAUUCACUCGUAAGCUUAACCUUUGGGGCAGAAUUUGGAAAAGCAUUCUGCCACAGGUUGUCAAUUAAGAGCAAUAAAUAAAAUACUAAAAUAAAACCAACAACAAUAAAAGGAAAGGAAAGCAAGUCUUAUCACAAAAUUCAAUAUCAAUGUGCCACCAUUUACUGAACCUUCAGUCACAAUAAACUACGGAGGUUCACCCAAUAACAAUGACAUUAAAUUUCCCUGAAGCUUACAAGCACCCAGUUCACAAGAGGCAACCAGACCUUGCUGUUUGUAUCAGGUUAGUAGUUUCAACUUUUUCAUUAACUUUCUGAACCAUGACCCCUUGCUGUUGUUUUGCUAUAUGCCAAAUGAUAUUUUGACUUCAUUCAGAAUAACCAACAACAAUAAAAAGAAAA